AAGUCGUAACAAGGUUUCCGUAGGUGAACCUGCGGAAGGAUCAUUAACACGUUUCCAAACGUAUCAACCAACCGUGAACCUGUUCGAUGCUACAUCAGCUGACGAGUAGUCUAACUAUUCGCCGGCUGGCUAUUUGCUUCAUACGAAUUUCACCUCUCCUUUUUGCUAGUUGACUUUGACUGAAUUUGCCUGCACCGCCUUGUGCGACAGACAAAUUUAUGUUUGACUUAAUCAAACGAAAUCAACAACUCUUAGCGAUGGAUAUCUUGGUUCUC
RNAcentral lists this unclassified non-coding RNA (275 nucleotides) under fungal sp. RNAcentral describes it as "partial internal transcribed spacer region". The stretch from base 1 to 46 matches the Rfam family "Eukaryotic small subunit ribosomal RNA", at positions 1786 to 1831 of the family's 1831-position model. The record is from RNAcentral. Lineage: Eukaryota; Fungi.